GCAUUUGUUUUGCAACCUCGCGUUCGGCCGGUUUCCAAUUGCCUCUGGUUUUGCAUUCAUUGCCAGGGGGACAAAGGCGCCAUGGGGAUCCCCGGACGGCCGGGACUAAAAGGGCCGCCCGGAGAGAAGGGCGCGCCGGGAGAAGCCGGCAUGUCCAUCAUCGGGCCCCGCGGGCCGCCCGUAAGUGGCUCUUUGCUCUAUUUUUUGACGGAUGCAGGGUGUGGGCACGCUACAGGGAAGGACU
This 244-nucleotide long non-coding RNA is filed under the name Dromaius novaehollandiae (emu). RNAcentral's name for it is "lncRNA (ENSDNVG00000015136.1)". The record is from RNAcentral. Lineage: Eukaryota; Metazoa; Chordata; Aves; Casuariiformes; Dromaiidae.